Molecule: transfer RNA, 75 nt
Filed under: Pythium insidiosum
Lineage: Eukaryota; Oomycota; Peronosporomycetes; Pythiales; Pythiaceae
Description: tRNA-Glu
Rfam family: tRNA
About the family: Transfer RNA (tRNA) molecules are approximately 80 nucleotides in length.
Source: RNAcentral
UCCCAGAUAGUCUAGGUGGUUAGGAUACGCUGGCUCUCACCCAGCAGACCCGGGUUCGAGUCCGCGGUCUGGGAA